This 223-nucleotide unclassified non-coding RNA is filed under the name Hevea brasiliensis (rubber tree). The record is from RNAcentral. Lineage: Eukaryota; Viridiplantae; Streptophyta; Magnoliopsida; Malpighiales; Euphorbiaceae.
UUGAUUAAAAUUUGGCUGGGCUUCAAUUUCACACGAGAACUUCCGCACACAAGACUAUUAAAGACUUGACGAGAUCUACUGAACACUGAUCUGCGCCUUCCUUCGCUGAUUGAACGAACUUGUGGCUCUGGAAAUUGAGCUCUGUAGUUCUUUAGAGAGAGAGAGAGAGGUUGUGAGAGGUAAUGGCGAGUGGAGGGUUCGGAGAUCCGAGCCAGAAGAUAGA